GUGCCUAAUGCAUGCUAGUCGAGCGAAUGGAUUGAGAGCUUGCUCUCAAGAAGUUAGCGGCGGACGGGUGAGUAACACGUGGGUAACCUGCCCAUAAGACUGGGAUAACUCCGGGAAACCGGGGCUAAUACCGGAUAACAUUUUGAACCGCAUGGUUCGAAAUUGAAAGGCGGCUUCGGCUGUCACUUAUGGAUGGACCCGCGUCGCAUUAGCUAGUUGGUGAGGUAACGGCUCACCAAGGCAACGAUGCGUAGCCGACCUGAGAGGGUGAUCGGCCACACUGGGACUGAGACACGGCCCAGACUCCUACGGGAGGCAGCAGUAGGGAAUCUUCCGCAAUGGACGAAAGUCUGACGGAGCAACGCCGCGUGAGUGAUGAAGGCUUUCGGGUCGUAAAACUCUGUUGUUAGGGAAGAACAAGUGCUAUUUGAAUACGCUGGCACCGUGACGGUACCUAACCAGAAAGCC
Molecule: ribosomal RNA, 468 nt
Filed under: Bacillus thuringiensis
Lineage: Bacteria; Bacillati; Bacillota; Bacilli; Caryophanales; Bacillaceae
Description: bacterial SSU rRNA
Rfam family: Bacterial small subunit ribosomal RNA
Source: RNAcentral